AUGCAAAUUAGUGUCCAAAACAAGGGCAAAAGUGUUUGGAAAAGUAGAUACGUUGGAGACGUAUCAACUCCCCCAAGCUUAAACCUUUGCUUGUCCUCAAGCAAUUCAGUUGACAAACUAAAAGUGAUAAAGAAAAACUUUUACGAACUCUGUUUGAUCUUGUUGCAAAUAUGUAAAGCCAAUAUUCAAGUUUUCAGGAAAGAUUAUGAACUAACCAUAUUCACAAUAACUUUUAGGUCUCAUGUUUACUCAUAUCAAUGGCAUAAUCAACUAGCGAGCAAUAAUAAUAAAUCUCGGAUGACAACACUUUCUCAAAACAAUUAUAAUAUGAUAUAA
This 336-nucleotide ribosomal RNA is filed under the name Triticum aestivum (bread wheat). RNAcentral describes it as "partial small subunit ribosomal RNA". The record is from RNAcentral. Lineage: Eukaryota; Viridiplantae; Streptophyta; Magnoliopsida; Poales; Poaceae.